This is a non-coding RNA of Pelodiscus sinensis (Chinese soft-shelled turtle), 758 nucleotides long. Lineage: Eukaryota; Metazoa; Chordata; Testudines; Trionychidae. The record is from RefSeq and is a predicted model, not a curated record.
ACCCAGCUACAGGCCAUGGCUCAGCUUCCUGUGUGGUCUCACACCCCUCCCCACACAGCUCAGAGAGGCUCCCAGCUGCACUGCCUCCGCUCUCUUGGUGGCCAUACCGGAGCUGAUGGAGGAUGAGGAGGGCUACACGGUGCUGAACCUAAAGUCCAGGGGGGGCCGCUCAGCCGUCCCACCUGCAGCCAGGAUCCCAGGUGCCCAGUGUCCCUGGUGGCACCGCGCGGCGCGGUGGGGCGGAUGGGCUGGGAACAUGGUGCUGCUGGUCGCUGUGAUAGUGCUGGGGAUGUGGGUUUCCCACCUGGCGUCCGAGAAGGGACAGACCCCGGCAGCCCCUGGGAGUGGGGACCCCAGCACAGCAGCCUGCAGCGCCUGCCUGGAGCGUGUCCGAUCCCAGCUGUGCCCCACGGCCCAGCCCGGCCCAGCAGGUAACCCCAGCUCAUGUGUGUCUGAGCCGCCCACCCCCAGGCACUGCCAGAGGGAACCCAGCUGCGGGGCCAGGCCAUGGGGCUCCUGCAGGGCAGGGACACGCCGCCCCCUGCUGGCUGCACUGAUCUAGUCCCCAUCCCCACUCAGAGCCAGGCUGGGAAUGUACCUGCCUCAGCAGGGCCUGGCUGUGGGGCAGUGACACCUAGUGUCCCUUUCCGGGUAUUACAUGGGAAGAUUUAAAUAGCUGUAAUACAAAGUGAUCCAGGGUUUUUUUCGGUGGGAGGUGGGGUCAAAACUCAUUAUUAGAGACACUGUCUCAUGGUUCC